UUAAAUUGAAGAGUUUGAUCAUGGCUCAGAUUGAACGCUGGCGGCAGGCCUAACACAUGCAAGUCGAACGGUAACAGGAAGCAGCUUGCUGCUUCGCUGACGAGUGGCGGACGGGUGAGUAAUGUCUGGGAAACUGCCUGAUGGAGGGGGAUAACUACUGGAAACGGUAGCUAAUACCGCAUAAUGUCGCAAGACCAAAGAGGGGGACCUUCGGGCCUCUUGCCAUCGGAUGUGCCCAGAUGGGAUUAGCUAGUAGGUGGGGUAACGGCUCACCUAGGCGACGAUCCCUAGCUGGUCUGAGAGGAUGACCAGCCACACUGGAACUGAGACACGGUCCAGACUCCUACGGGAGGCAGCAGUGGGGAAUAUUGCACAAUGGGCGCAAGCCUGAUGCAGCCAUGCCGCGUGUAUGAAGAAGGCCUUCGGGUUGUAAAGUACUUUCAGCGGGGAGGAAGGCGAUAAGGUUAAUAACCUUGUCGAUUGACGUUACCCGCAGAAGAAGCACCGGCUAACUCCGUGCCAGCAGCCGCGGUAAUACGGAGGGUGCAAGCGUUAAUCGGAAUUACUGGGCGUAAAGCGCACGCAGGCGGUCUGUCAAGUCGGAUGUGAAAUCCCCGGGCUCAACCUGGGAACUGCAUUCGAAACUGGCAGGCUAGAGUCUUGUAGAGGGGGGUAGAAUUCCAGGUGUAGCGGUGAAAUGCGUAGAGAUCUGGAGGAAUACCGGUGGCGAAGGCGGCCCCCUGGACAAAGACUGACGCUCAGGUGCGAAAGCGUGGGGAGCAAACAGGAUUAGAUACCCUGGUAGUCCACGCCGUAAACGAUGUCGACUUGGAGGUUGUGCCCUUGAGGCGUGGCUUCCGGAGCUAACGCGUUAAGUCGACCGCCUGGGGAGUACGGCCGCAAGGUUAAAACUCAAAUGAAUUGACGGGGGCCCGCACAAGCGGUGGAGCAUGUGGUUUAAUUCGAUGCAACGCGAAGAACCUUACCUACUCUUGACAUCCAGAGAACUUUCCAGAGAUGGAUUGGUGCCUUCGGGAACUCUGAGACAGGUGCUGCAUGGCUGUCGUCAGCUCGUGUUGUGAAAUGUUGGGUUAAGUCCCGCAACGAGCGCAACCCUUAUCCUUUGUUGCCAGCGGUUAGGCCGGGAACUCAAAGGAGACUGCCAGUGAUAAACUGGAGGAAGGUGGGGAUGACGUCAAGUCAUCAUGGCCCUUACGAGUAGGGCUACACACGUGCUACAAUGGCGCAUACAAAGAGAAGCGACCUCGCGAGAGCAAGCGGACCUCAUAAAGUGCGUCGUAGUCCGGAUUGGAGUCUGCAACUCGACUCCAUGAAGUCGGAAUCGCUAGUAAUCGUGGAUCAGAAUGCCACGGUGAAUACGUUCCCGGGCCUUGUACACACCGCCCGUCACACCAUGGGAGUGGGUUGCAAAAGAAGUAGGUAGCUUAACCUUCGGGAGGGCGCUUACCACUUUGUGAUUCAUGACUGGGGUGAAGUCGUAACAAGGUAACCGUAGGGGAACCUGCGGUUGGAUCACCUCCUUACCUUAAAGAA
This 1554-nucleotide ribosomal RNA is filed under the name Enterobacter cloacae. Its description in RNAcentral is "bacterial SSU rRNA". It matches the Rfam family "Bacterial small subunit ribosomal RNA". RNAcentral also lists the same sequence under 2 other names. The record is from RNAcentral. Lineage: Bacteria; Pseudomonadati; Pseudomonadota; Gammaproteobacteria; Enterobacterales; Enterobacteriaceae.